Long non-coding RNA from Salvelinus fontinalis (brook trout), 571 nucleotides. RefSeq lists it as uncharacterized. The transcript has 3 exons. NCBI's taxonomy places the organism in Eukaryota, Metazoa, Chordata, Actinopteri, Salmoniformes, Salmonidae. The record is from RefSeq and is a predicted model, not a curated record.
CUCAGUUAUUGUUUUCUUUACUUUCAGAGAGCGAGCUGACCAAGGGGGUCGAAAAUGUAGAUAUUGCCAGAUGUUCACUGUGUGAGGACCAGGCCGUGGAAGCUUUAUUGCUGGCAAAGUGUCCCUAACCAGAGGUUAUAUCAGCUGUUUUGUUGAACCUCUCCCGCAUCUGAACUGGCUGACAGAGGGCACAGCCUGAUCAUAGGUAUGUUUUGAUGUGAGAGGAAUCCAGUCCCGACAGCGCAAUUGUGAUGAACUGAGAGAAUAUUAGGGUAGCACUGUCAUUCAUGAAUCAUAUGCUAUCUGCCGCUGUUCUUACCUCUCUCCCCACCUCGUCUUCUAAUGCACACCAUAUGUGCUCUGACAAAUCAACUGUACAUUUCGGUGUUCCUCAAUGUACCGUAAUGGACCACUAUUGUUUUCACUGUAUAUUUUACCUCUUGGGGAUGUCAUUCGAAAGCAUAAUGUUAACUUUCACUGCUAUGCGGAUGACACACAGCUGUACAUUUCAAUGAAACAUUUCAAUGAAACAUGGAAGCCCCAAAAUUCCCCUCACUAGAAGCCUUUUUUU